AUAACAGUUGGAAACGACUGCUAAUACCGCAUAAGCGCACAGGAUUGCAUGAUCCGGUGUGAAAAACUCCGGUGGUAUGAGAUGGACCCGCGUCUGAUUAGCCAGUUGGCAGGGUAACGGCCUACCAAAGCGACGAUCAGUAGCCGACCUGAGAGGGUGACCGGCCACAUUGGGACUGAGACACGGCCCAAACUCCUACGGGAGGCAGCAGUGGGGAAUAUUGCACAAUGGGGGAAACCCUGAUGCAGCGACGCCGCGUGAGCGAAGAAGUAUUUCGGUAUGUAAAGCUCUAUCAGCAGGGAAGAAGAAUGACGGUACCUGACUAAGAAGCACCGGCUAAAUACGUGCCAGCAGCCGCGGUAAUACGUAUGGUGCAAGCGUUAUCCGGAUUUACUGGGUGUAAAGGGAGCGCAGGCGGUGCGGCAAGUCUGAUGUGAAAGCCCGGGGCUCAACCCCGGUACUGCAUUGGAAACUGUCGUACUAGAGUGUCGGAGGGGUAAGUGGAAUUCCUAGUGUAGCGGUGAAAUGCGUAGAUAUUAGGAGGAACACCAGUGGCGAAGGCGGCUUACUGGACGAUAACUGACGCUGAGGCUCGAAAGCGUGGGGAGCAAACAGGAUUAGAUACCCUGGUAGUCCACGCCGUAAAC
RNAcentral lists this ribosomal RNA (647 nucleotides) under uncultured bacterium. RNAcentral describes it as "bacterial SSU rRNA". It matches the Rfam family "Bacterial small subunit ribosomal RNA", at positions 143 to 807 of the family's 1533-position model. The record is from RNAcentral.